Molecule: non-coding RNA, 563 nt
Organism: Cinara cedri
Lineage: Eukaryota; Metazoa; Arthropoda; Insecta; Hemiptera; Aphididae
Source: the annotation of a GenBank genome assembly
AUAUUGUUUUGUCUGUUUAUUUUCAUAAAUCAUAAGAGUUAUUCUGAAGAAAAAAAUAUUUUUGAUACGGACAUAUGCAUUAGUAAUGAAUGAUCUGAAAGUUAGUAUACCAAAAAUAAAUUGCAUUAUUAGUAACUUACUAACGAAAUCGUUAUUUGUCAUUUUGUGUUAUUUUCUCUUUUCAAAAUUAUUCAAUUAAAAUUGCUAAAAACAACAAAAUUACUAAAUAAAGCUUAACUAAUACUUAAUUGAUAGGGGGCCCAGCUCCUAUAAUAUUUUAGAGGGCCUACCGGGAUUUUCCCGUUAUCCCGAUGGGCCAGUACGCGCCUGUUUCUUAACUAUCCGUUAACUAAAUUCGCUUCUGUUACGCAUCACGCACGUGUUCAAGUGACGGACUUUUAGUGUAAGUAUUGCAUACAAGUUUUGUUUUGUAAUAUUGUCGUUCGUUGUAAUAGUUUAAAAUUUAUUCUAAUAUGAUUACAUACACAUAUGUCUUACACAUGAGCCACCGCAAUGGAACCGUAUUAUCUAAAAUGCGUUCAACACAGGAUGAAAAGCGUUUU